Diabrotica virgifera virgifera (western corn rootworm) is the source of this 2595-nucleotide long non-coding RNA. RefSeq lists it as uncharacterized. The record is from RefSeq and is a predicted model, not a curated record. The transcript has 2 exons. Lineage: Eukaryota; Metazoa; Arthropoda; Insecta; Coleoptera; Chrysomelidae.
AAAUAUUUGAUGGAUAAUAAUUUUGUAUUAUAAAUGGAAGAAAAAGAGAAGAAGAGACGAUCUUCUUUAAUUAAAGAUUAAAGCUGUGAUUAAAGCUAAAGCUAAAUACCUAACCUAUUUAUAAUACCCAAAUUUACAGGUUUCAAGUUUUAAUGUAGAGCAUAAUUAUGUAGAGUAGAAACGCAGAAACCAAACUGGAGGUGAAUCAGUAAAUAAUUUCUGGUAUUUUAGAGAAGACAGCAAUUGCAAUUUUCAAGCAUAUCUAAAAUCUGCCAAAAUCUUGUCACUCACUGAUUGACUUAAUGGCCAUUAGGGGAGAAAUAUUAGCCUACAGGUCCAGUAAUUGAAGAAAUAAUAAAUUCCACUGAUCACUGAUAGAAAGAGUAUUAAAAAAAACAUUUAGUGAAUGAUGAAUUACGGGAUAUAGAUAAGGCCAAUAGUAGACAGGAUCUCUCCUAUGCAAAGGAACCAGAUAUUUUGGAUAAACAGGAAACAGAUAGCUUGUUGAAAAUCCUUGUAGGUGAAUACAGUCUUGAUUAUAUAAAAGCCAUUCAGUGGGACAGAACCCAUGAAAAAGAUGCCAUAGGCCCAUAGAGCACCUAAGAUAAAAUUAUAGUUGUAAUGUUCUACCAACUGGAGUAUGGAACAAAGUUGGGACUCCUUGGUGCUAGUUCUGAUGGAAUUAUUGAAGAAGGAUUAUGUUGUAUUAGCGAUUAUGAUGAAUUUUGUAGGUUACAAUCUUUAUGUAGCUAAAUAGGGACUGUUACAUGUUAUUUUCUCUGCCAUAAAGUUGAAAAUUCAAGUUUGUGCAUUAAUGCAAUAAAUUUUAAGAAUUAUAAAUUUAAUGAAAUAAUUCUAAAUAAUAAUUGUAAACCAGCAUUUUUCAGUGCGUCACAGUUUUUUGAUUUCUUUCUAACGCAUUAAAUUGUAUGUGACAGAAAAAAAAGGCACGUCUGUGAUUACAGACAUUUAUAACAUUUAUUCUAGUUGUCGAUACAUGGCGCUAUAAUCGAAGAAAAAAUUAUUUACGAAUUAUAUCUACAUAUAUAAUCUGUACAAUUUAUAAGACUAUACAAAUCAAAUGCCAUUUUACAAAUGCAAUAAACACAAUUGAUUUGUUUUUAUGCCAAAUUGCAAAUAAAAUGUGACAACUGUCUGAUUUAACUAAAAUGUCAUGUUAGAAUAAAUGUCAUAAAUGUGUAUUAUCACAGACUUACCUUUUUUUCUAUCAUCUGUGACGCACUGAAAAAUGAUCAUGAAAAGGACUCUAGCAUAAUUAUAUCAAACAAAGUCCCAAAAGCAUGGAUUUCACAGGAAAUGUAAAAAUGUAAGUAGGUGAGAAGUUAGCCACAGUUUUAGUGACUUAAAUCUAAACGAGUAUAAAACUGUGUGUACCUAUGUGACAAUAACAUUGUUGUUUUCAGUAUUUUCUUUACAAUUUCAUCACAUAUUCUCACCUUUUAAACUUUCCUUGGAUUUCUACAAAUGUUUUAAAAGCGAGAUUAGCUAAUUCAGUUCAGUCAUUCUGGAGCUGUUGUAAAAAAUAUAUAACAAAAUAAAAUGAAGUUUAUUAAAUGUCAUACAAUUUUUACAUAUCGAAACCGCACUGGACACACUGAGUGACUUGUUGCAUUAGAGUUUUAUAAGAUUAGAUACUGAAGAAUUGCUGAAUUACGAUAUAAACUCUUUUUAGAAUUAUGUUAAUUAUUGUAAGAGAAAUAAUUUUAAUACGCCAUGGUGCAUGAAGUUUAAUGAUUUUGUUUUUAGUGGACCACAAUCAAUUGUUGAUGAUUUUGCCAAUUUCUUCAGCAGUGUCCAUAAUCCUUCUUUUUCCUGCCUGGGCGAGUGGAGUCAUGGACCCAUAAUCACUCACAGCCAUAUUCACUCCUUAACUAUUAAAAUUUGUGACAUUCUAGCAUGUUUACAGAUACAGAAAUUGUCAUCCCCAACUUGUAAAUUCAACUGUGAUCUGGUUUCCCAUUACUCAAGCAUGUAUUGAAAAGUUAGAGAGAGUUAAAAGAAUAUUUCUGAUGUACUUGUUCUUUUAAAUUGUGUAGGCCAUAGUCUUAAUCUGGUAUGAUCAAUUUCUUGAAUCUGAAUUCUCUUCUUAUCAGAAGAGUUAACUUUAGUAUGAGCUUUAUUUUUAAGCUUGUAAAUGGAAUAAUUUAACCUUCUGAAUUGCUUCAGUUAAUUUGUUAUAUUCCUUCCCGUUCACUGUGUUACAAUUCACUUUUCCUUGUUCUUUAUCGCAGAACGAAUUAUGGUCUGACCAUAAUUAGUUCAAAUACAUGUAUGGUAUGCUCUGACCGCUAUGCGUGCAAGUCAGUUACCUCAUGAGAUAUAAUUUGUUUAGCUUAUAAUGUACCAAUAGCUUUAGGUAGUAUUUGAAGCACUGAAAUGCAAAAUGAUGCAUUGUAUAAAUAAGUUUGUAUUCAUUUAUAUUUUAUUUUUAUUACUAAUUUUAUCUAUUUUAUAUUUCUUUAAUGCUGUAUUCUUAUAUAAUUUUGAUAGUGGGUUUGUCUCGUUUGUUAGUAAUAAAUAAAUAUCAGUUAAUUAAUAUAUUAAUGUAAUAUGUAAUAAAAGUUCAUUUAAAAA